CACGUAGGGGGCAAGCGUUGUCCGGAUUUAUUGGGCGUAAAGAGCUCGUAGGCGGUUUGUCGCGUCUGCUGUGAAAUUUCGGGGCUCAACCCCGGACUUGCAGUGGGUACGGGCAGACUAGAGUGUGGUAGGGGAGACUGGAACUCCUGGUGUAGCGGUGAAAUGCGCAGAUAUCAGGAGGAACACCGAUGGCGAAGGCAGGUCUCUGGGCCACUACUGACGCUGAGAAGCGAAAGCAUGGGGAGCGAACAGG
This 253-nucleotide ribosomal RNA is filed under the name uncultured bacterium. Its description in RNAcentral is "partial 16S ribosomal RNA". It matches the Rfam family "Bacterial small subunit ribosomal RNA", at positions 524 to 776 of the family's 1533-position model. The record is from RNAcentral.